UACGUAGGGCGCAAGCGUUGUCCGGAAUUAUUGGGCGUAAAGAGCUCGUAGGCGGCUUGUCACGUCGGGUGUGAAAGCCCGGGGCUUAACCCCGGGUCUGCAUUCGAUACGGGCUAGCUAGAGUGUGGUAGGGGAGAUCGGAAUUCCUGGUGUAGCGGUGAAAUGCGCAGAUAUCAGGAGGAACACCGGUGGCGAAGGCGGAUCUCUGGGCCUGAUCUGACGCUGAGGCGCGAAAGCUAGGGGAGCGAACAGG
RNAcentral lists this ribosomal RNA (253 nucleotides) under uncultured bacterium. RNAcentral describes it as "partial 16S ribosomal RNA". It matches the Rfam family "Bacterial small subunit ribosomal RNA", at positions 524 to 776 of the family's 1533-position model. The record is from RNAcentral.